RNAcentral lists this ribosomal RNA (253 nucleotides) under uncultured bacterium. RNAcentral's name for it is "partial 16S ribosomal RNA". It matches the Rfam family "Bacterial small subunit ribosomal RNA", at positions 524 to 776 of the family's 1533-position model. The record is from RNAcentral.
UACAGAGGUCCCGAGCGUUGUUCGGAUUCACUGGGCGUAAAGGGUGCGUAGGCGGGUCUUUAAGUCAGGGGUGAAAUCCUGGAGCUCAACUCCAGAACUGCCUUUAAUACUGCCAGUCUCGAGUCCGGAAGAGGUAAGUGGAACUCCUAGUGUAGAGGUGGAAUUCGUAGAUAUUAGGAAGAACACCAGUGGCGAAGGCGGCUUACUGGUCCGGUACUGACGCUGAGGUGCGAAAGCGUGGGGAGCAAACAGG